This 505-nucleotide ribosomal RNA is filed under the name uncultured bacterium. RNAcentral's name for it is "bacterial SSU rRNA". It matches the Rfam family "Bacterial small subunit ribosomal RNA", at positions 28 to 524 of the family's 1533-position model. The record is from RNAcentral.
GACGAACGCUGGCGGCGUGGAUUAGGCAUGCAAGUCGAACGGUAUCAUCCUUUCGGGGGUGAGAGAGUGGCGAACUGGUGAGUAACACGUAGGUUAUCUACCCUCAAGACGGGGACAACCCAGGGAAACUUGGGCUAAUACCGGAUGUGAGCAACUUUUAGUUGUUUGAAAGGUGGCGUAAGCUGUCGCUUGGGGAUGAGCCUGCGUCCUAUUAGUUAGUUGGUGAGGUAACGGCUCAACCUAGGCAAUGAUAGGUAGGCGGCCUUAACGGGUGGUCGCCCACACUGGGAUUGAGAUACGGCCCAGACUCCUACGGGAGGCAGCAGUCGAGAAUAGUCUACAAUGGUCGGAAGACUGAUAGUGCGACGCCGCGUGAACGAUGAAUCCCUUCGGGAUGUAAAGUUCUUUUAUAUGUGAGCAGUGCUUCUUAUAUUAACAGUAAUGGGGAAGAGAUAUUAGCAUAUGAAUAAGCAACGGCUAACUCCGUGCCAGCAGCCGCGGUAAA